RNAcentral lists this ribosomal RNA (440 nucleotides) under uncultured bacterium. RNAcentral describes it as "partial 16S ribosomal RNA". It matches the Rfam family "Bacterial small subunit ribosomal RNA", at positions 338 to 795 of the family's 1533-position model. The record is from RNAcentral.
CCUACGGGUGGCAGCAGUGGGGAAUAUUGGACAAUGGGGGAAACCCUGAUCCAGCGACGCCGCGUGAGUGAAGAAGUAUUUCGGUACGUAAAGCUCUAUCAGCAGGAAAGAAAAUGACGGUACCUGACUAAGAAGCCCCGGCUAACUACGUGCCAGCAGCCGCGGUAAUACGUAGGUGACAAGCUGUAUCCGGAUUUACUGGGUGUAAAGGGAGCGUAGACGGCAGCGCAAGUAAGGAGUGAAAUGCCGGGGACCAACCCCGGAACUGCGCUGGAAACUGUGAAGCUGGAGGGCAGGCGAGGUAAGCGGAAUUGCUGGUGUAGCGGUGAAAUGCGGAGAUAUCACGAGGAACACCGGCGGCGAAGGCGGCUUACUGGACUGUAACUGACGUUGAGGCUCGAAGGCGUGGGGAGCAAACAGGAUUAGAUACCCGGGUAGUC